Molecule: ribosomal RNA, 253 nt
Filed under: uncultured bacterium
Lineage: Bacteria
Description: partial 16S ribosomal RNA
Rfam family: Bacterial small subunit ribosomal RNA
Source: RNAcentral
UACGUAGGUGGCAAGCGUUGUCCGGAUUUACUGGGCGUAAAGAGCGCGCAGGCGGUCGUUCAAGUCGAGUGUGAAAGCCCCCGGCUCAACUGGGGAGGGUCACUCGAUACUGAUCGACUCGAAGGCAGAAGAGGGAAGCGGAAUUCCCGGUGUAGUGGUGAAAUGCGUAGAUAUCGGGAGGAACACCAGUGGCGAAGGCGGCUUUCUGGACCAAUACUGACGCUGAGACGCGAAAGCGUGGGGAGCAAACAGG